RNAcentral lists this ribosomal RNA (253 nucleotides) under uncultured prokaryote. Its description in RNAcentral is "partial 16S ribosomal RNA". It matches the Rfam family "Bacterial small subunit ribosomal RNA", at positions 524 to 776 of the family's 1533-position model. The record is from RNAcentral.
AACGUAGGUGGCGAGCGUUAUCCGGAUUGACUGGGCGUAAAGGGUGUGCAGGCGGCUUCUCAAGUGGUGUAUGAAAUCUCCCGGCUCAACCGGGAGGGGUUAUGCCAGACUGGGGAGCUAGAGCGUGGGAGAGGGUGGUGGAAUUCCGGGUGUAGUGGUGAAAUGCGUAGAGAUCCGGAGGAACCCCAGAGGCGAAGGCGGCCACCUGGCCCACGACUGACGCUCAUACACGACAGCAUGGGGAGCGAACGGG